AAAGCCCUAGAGGGCUUUUGGGACAGGGAAGGGUGGGUUCCUUACGUGAGUGCUGCUUGGCUUCCUUCAACCCUCUGCUGCUGCAGCUCCUGCGUGCCUUGCACACCCAGGGCCUCUCCUCUCUGCCUCUGGGCAGGCUUUGCUGCUUGUGCAGCGGUGCGUGGGGCAGCCAGGUCCCCAGGGAGCAGGCCAAAGGAGGCUCCAGCAGCAGCGAGCUCUGACCUCGGUGCCCUGAGCCUCUCGCAGUUUUGUCUGACUGGUGAUGGAGCAGGAGGUUUGUGUGCCAGGCAGCUGCCCAGCACCGGGAGCACCGUGGGACUCUGCAUCGCCCACCGGGGGCUUCCAGUGGAGGCUGAAGGAAUGUGCUCAGUGAGGGGCUCUCAGGCGUGGGGGAGGAUCAGAUCUCGGCUCCCGGUACCCUUCUGCCGCGCUGACUUGGAGCAAAGCAGCGCUCAUCUGUCUAAUUAGGAGCAGUGCUUCUGGCAGUCAAGCUUCUUCCUCUCAGGAAUAAGUGGGUUUUCUUCGCAGCUGCACCUCCUGAGAGUGCUUUAAGUGUUUCCUGCCAAGAGCCCUGCCUGUGGCAGGCACAGCCCCAUGGCUUUCCCUAUAGGUCCUGGCUGAGGGCUCUGCCCGCCUCGAUCAAAGUGACCCCUGCAUCGGGUGGGCUGCUCCUGGCCCACGGGUGCCAGGAGGAUGGGGACAAGCCCUGGCCAUGGGUGAUGACUGCUACACCAGCCAGCUGGGGGACCAGCCCCCCCGGGGUCCAGAUUCCCCACAGCUAACCGGGGGGCUUGGCUCAGGGC
RNAcentral lists this long non-coding RNA (803 nucleotides) under Anser brachyrhynchus (Pink-footed goose). RNAcentral describes it as "lncRNA (ENSABRG00000005959.1)". The record is from RNAcentral. Lineage: Eukaryota; Metazoa; Chordata; Aves; Anseriformes; Anatidae.